AAUGGACAACGAUGUUGGCACGGUUCAAUCAAAUCAAAUCUCUCUAUGAUUUGGGUCCUUUGAUAUGAUUGAGUCGUGCCAAUAUCAAUUUUUGUUUG
This 98-nucleotide microRNA precursor is filed under the name Trifolium pratense (red clover). Lineage: Eukaryota; Viridiplantae; Streptophyta; Magnoliopsida; Fabales; Fabaceae. The record is from RNAcentral.